AUGAACGCUGACAGAAUGCUUAACACAUGCAAGUCGAUGGGGAAGUGGUGCUUGCACCAUGGUAACCAUGGCGGACGGGUGAGUAACGCGUAAUGAACUUACCUGCGGGACCGGGAUAAGAGCAGGAAACUGCUGACAAGACCGGAUAAGGUCAUUAAGCUGCAUAGCUUAGUGAUGAAAGGAUACGCCUGCGGAGAGCCUUGCGUCCUAUUAGCUAGUUGGAGGGGUAACGGCCCACCAAGGCGAAGAUAGGUAGCCGGCUUGAGAGGGUGGACGGCACAAAGGGGACUGAGAUACGGCACUUACUCAUACGGGAGGCAGCAGUGGGGAAUAUUGGAAAAUGGGGGCAACCCUGAUCAAGCCAUUCUGUGUGCACGAAGAUGGUUUUCGGAUUGUAAAGUGGUUUCAGCAGGGAAGAAGGAAGUGACGGUACCUGCAGAAGAAGCGACGGCUAAAUACGUG
This 462-nucleotide ribosomal RNA is filed under the name uncultured bacterium. RNAcentral's name for it is "partial 16S ribosomal RNA". It matches the Rfam family "Bacterial small subunit ribosomal RNA", at positions 30 to 507 of the family's 1533-position model. The record is from RNAcentral.